RNAcentral lists this transfer RNA (73 nucleotides) under Candidatus Melainabacteria bacterium. It matches the Rfam family "tRNA". From Rfam's summary of the family: Transfer RNA (tRNA) molecules are approximately 80 nucleotides in length. Their secondary structure includes four short double-helical elements and three loops (D, anti-codon, and T loops). The record is from Rfam by way of RNAcentral. Lineage: Bacteria; Bacillati; Candidatus Melainabacteria.
GCCGAGGUAGCUCAGUCGGUAGAGCAGCGGAUUGAAAAUCCGCGUGUCGCCGGUUCAAUCCCGGCUCUCGGCA